AUUUAAAUAAUAUAAAAAGUAUAAUUAAUUUCCAAUUAAUAAGUCUUAAAAAAGUUUAAAUA
RNAcentral lists this transfer RNA (62 nucleotides) under Ceraphronidae sp. ZJUH_2016007. RNAcentral describes it as "tRNA-Gly". Lineage: Eukaryota; Metazoa; Arthropoda; Insecta; Hymenoptera; Ceraphronidae. The record is from RNAcentral.